UACGGAGGGGGCCAGCGCUGUUCGGAAUCAUUGGGCGUAAAGGGCGCGUAGGCGGCCGAUCAAGUCGGAGGUGAAAUCCCUCGGCUCAACUGAGGAAUUGCCUCCGAUACUGUUCGGCUUGAGUCCUGGAGAGGGUAGUGGAAUUCCCGGUGUAGCGGUGAAAUGCGUAGAGACCGGGAAGAACACCAGUGGCGAAGGCGGCUACCUGGACAGGUACUGACGCUGAAGCGCGAAAGCUAGGGGAGCAAACAGG
RNAcentral lists this ribosomal RNA (253 nucleotides) under uncultured bacterium. Its description in RNAcentral is "partial 16S ribosomal RNA". It matches the Rfam family "Bacterial small subunit ribosomal RNA", at positions 524 to 776 of the family's 1533-position model. The record is from RNAcentral.